This 359-nucleotide unclassified non-coding RNA is filed under the name Hevea brasiliensis (rubber tree). Lineage: Eukaryota; Viridiplantae; Streptophyta; Magnoliopsida; Malpighiales; Euphorbiaceae. The record is from RNAcentral.
AAAUAAAAAAAAAAAAAAAAACUUGGAAUUCCACCCUUAACUUAAAAAAAAAAAAUUGCUAAUUAAACUCUAUACUAGUGGCUAACGUGGCAUAUAAAUAAAUAAUAAUGAUGGUAUGGCUGAUGUGGUGGGUUGACAUAGCAUUUUUGUGAUUUCACUUAGGGUUCGAAUCGAACUGAAGAAUUGUAUCGAACUGAUAGGAACUUACUAAAUCGAAAUUAUUUUGAUAUUUUGGUUCAAUCCUGAUUUUUUACUAAGAAUUAAAUCAGAAUUAUAUUAAAAUCGUAUUAAAUCGAGAAUCAAAUUUUUAUAUAUGUUUUUUUGUAUUUUUUAGAUAUAUUAUAUGUUUUCAAUAUAUA